AUUGAACGCUGGCGGCAGGCCUAACACAUGCAAGUCGAGCGGAUGAAGGGAGCUUGCUCCUGGAUUCAGCGGCGGACGGGUGAGUAAUGCCUAGGAAUCUGCCUGGUCUUGGGGGAUAACGUCCGGACACGGGCGCUAAUACCGCAUACGUCCUGAGGGAGAAAGUGGGGGAUCUUCGGACCUCACGCUAUCAGAUGAGCCUAGGUCGGAUUAGCUAGUUGGUGGGGUAAAGGCCUACCAAGGCGACGAUCCGUAACUGGUCUGAGAGGAUGAUCAGUCACACUGGAACUGAGACACGGUCCAGACUCCUACGGGAGGCAGCAGUGGGGAAUAUUGGACAAUGGGCGAAAGCCUGAUCCAGCCAUGCCGCGUGUGUGAAGAAGGUCUUCGGAUUGUAAAGCACUUUAAGUUGGGAGGAAGGGCAGUAAGUUAAUACCUUGCUGUUUUGACGGUACCAACAGAAUAAGCACCGGCUAACUUCGUG
Molecule: ribosomal RNA, 484 nt
Filed under: uncultured bacterium
Lineage: Bacteria
Description: partial 16S ribosomal RNA
Rfam family: Bacterial small subunit ribosomal RNA
Source: RNAcentral